Molecule: ribosomal RNA, 433 nt
Filed under: uncultured bacterium
Lineage: Bacteria
Description: partial 16S ribosomal RNA
Rfam family: Bacterial small subunit ribosomal RNA
Source: RNAcentral
AACGAACGCUGGCGGCAUGCCUAACACAUGCAAGUCGAACGAGACCUUCGGGUCUAGUGGCGCACGGGUGCGUAACGCGUGGGAACCUGCCCUUAGGUUCGGAAUAACUCCCCGAAAGGGGUGCUAAUACCGGAUAAUGUCUUCGGACCAAAGAUUUAUCGCCUUUGGAUGGGCCCGCGUUGGAUUAGCUGGUUGGUAGGGUAAAAGCCUACCAAGGCGACGAUCCAUAGCUGGUCUGAGAGGAUGAUCAGCCACACUGGGACUGAGACCCGGCCCAGACUCCUACGGGAGGCAGCAGUGGGGAAUAUUGGACGAUGGGGGAAGGCCUGAUCCAGCAAUGCCGCGUGAGUGAUGAAGGCCUUAGGGUUGUAAAGCUCUUUUACCCGGGAUGAUAAUGACAGUACCGGGAGAAUAAGCACCGGCUAACUCCGUG